UACGUAGGGGGCAAGCGUUAUCCGGAUUUACUGGGUGUAAAGGGAGCGUAGACGGUAAUGCAAGUCUGGAGUGAAAUGCAGGGGCUCAACCCCUGAACUGCUUUGGAAACUGUAUGACUGGAGUGCAGGAGAGGUAAGUGGAAUUCCUAGUGUAGCGGUGAAAUGCGUAGAUAUUAGGAGGAACACCAGUGGCGAAGGCGGCUUACUGGACUGUAACUGACGUUGAGGCUCGAAAGCGUGGGGAGCAAACAGG
RNAcentral lists this ribosomal RNA (253 nucleotides) under uncultured bacterium. RNAcentral describes it as "partial 16S ribosomal RNA". It matches the Rfam family "Bacterial small subunit ribosomal RNA", at positions 524 to 776 of the family's 1533-position model. The record is from RNAcentral.